GGGCGAUUAACUCAGCGGGAGAGUGCUACCUUCACACGGUAGAAGUCACUGGUUCGAUCCCAGUAUCGCCCA
This 72-nucleotide transfer RNA is filed under the name bacterium. Its description in RNAcentral is "tRNA-Val". It matches the Rfam family "tRNA". Rfam says of the family: Transfer RNA (tRNA) molecules are approximately 80 nucleotides in length. Their secondary structure includes four short double-helical elements and three loops (D, anti-codon, and T loops). The record is from RNAcentral. RNAcentral also lists the same sequence under 2 other names.